CCAGAGGCCACAUGCUAGAGAACUAAUGUCAUGAAUGCCUAAAUGAGAAAGUUAAUAUUUGGAGUAUUAAAUUCAAUAAAAAAAAUUGGAACUGGUUACGAGUGUAGUGAUGCAUGUGCAAAAACAACACUGAUUUUUUUGGGAUAAUGUUACACAACUAAUUAAACAUGAACAUAUAUGUACAAAAAACAGCACUGAUUUAUGUUUAUCAAAGUGGUGUAUUUAUUACAAUGUGUGCAUAUGCAGCUAGCUAGGGAGGCAUCAAUGCAGUACUCGCUCAUUCUUUCUUAAUUACAAACUAUAAUGUAUUUAUAUACUAUCAUACAAAGAUUCUAAUUAAUUAAGAGGUAUUCUUAGAUCUUAUAUAUUGCAACCUUGUGGAAGAUCAUCAUCUUCUUCUGAAACUUCCAGGGGCAGAAGAGGCUUUUACCUCAGAGUUAAACUCUUCAUCAGGAAGCUUAACAGCAGUGUAAUUACAAUAACUCUGAUCAUGUACUUUUAAACAAUUUUAGUAUGACUCAAAUAAACUCUCUGUAGGUACACAAUGCAAAGAACCUUAUUUAUUUUGCAGACAAAAAUUAGGUACACUUCUAACCUGGCAUUUCUACAUCAAAUCAAAUGAACCUAAAAAUUAGGUACACUUAUGACCUGACAAAAAUGAGAGUGAGAGACAGAGAGAGAUAGAAUUGCAUUGCAUACUUGUUUGAUUGGAACUUAUGUAGAGCACCAAUGUACAACUUCCUAGUGUAUGGACCUAGAUUCCCUACCAUACUACAACAUGGGAUUUGGAUUUACUGCAGUCACAAAUUCACGUAGUUAGCACAUCAGUGACCGUUGAGUUCAAAUCGGAUCGUACAUAAUGUAAGUAGUUUUUUUUUUUUCAUUCUAAAAUACCGAGCUUGAAAUAUGGACCUUCCGAAUUCAGAUCUUAAUUUAACGGUCUUCGAUGUAUUAAUUGCGUGAAUGCGUGAAAUUUGUGGUUGCAACAAAUCCUAUUUAACAUGAUCUAAAUUAAUAUCAGCGGCUAAAAGAUUAUUCUAUCGGUCAUUAGAUUAAUCCAACGACUAAUUUAUUUUUUAGUAUCCAGUCUAAGGAUCGACUAAUCUGACAACUAGUACAUUCUACUUUUUUUUUAAUGACUUUAUUAUUCUCUUCACACUUGCCUCUCUACAUUUUUGGUAUUUUUAUCUACUUUUUAUUGGUAUAUUCAUGACUAUAGGUUAUGACUUAUGAUAUGCUAGAUAAGAUCAAAAGCCUACUUUUUAAAUUUCAGAAUAAUGUAUUCUUGUAGAAUGGACUUGUCUUAUAAAAGGUGUGGUAUCACUAGAUUAUCAUACACCAUGCAAAAUUUGCGUCUAAUUACAAUAACCCUGAUCAUGUACUUUUAAACAAUAUUAGUAUGACUCAAAUAAACUCUCUGUAGGUACACAAUGCAAAGAACCUUAUUUAUUUCUCAGACAAAAAUUAGGUACACUUCUAACCUGGCAUUUCUACAUCAAAUCAAAUGAACCUAAAAAUUAGGUACACUUCUAACCUGACAAAAAUGAGAGUGAGAGACAGAGAGAGAUAGAAUUGCAUUGCAUACUUGUUUGAUUGGAACUUAUGUAGAGCACCAAUGUACAACUUCCUAGUGUAUGGACCUAGAUUCCCUACCGUACUACAACAUGGGAUUUGGAUUUACUGCAGUCACAAAUUCACGUAGUUAGCACAUCAGUGACCGUUGAGUUGAAAUCGGAUCGUACAUAAUGUAAGUAGUUUUUUUUUU
This 1765-nucleotide long non-coding RNA is filed under the name Medicago truncatula (barrel medic). RNAcentral's name for it is "long non-coding RNA (MTRU_LNC006888)". The record is from RNAcentral. Lineage: Eukaryota; Viridiplantae; Streptophyta; Magnoliopsida; Fabales; Fabaceae.